Trichonephila clavata is the source of this 73-nucleotide non-coding RNA. NCBI's taxonomy places the organism in Eukaryota, Metazoa, Arthropoda, Arachnida, Araneae, Nephilidae. The record is from the annotation of a GenBank genome assembly.
GUCCUUGUAGCGCAAUGGAUAGCGCGUUGGACUUCUAAUCCAAAGGUCAUGGGUUAGAAUCCCUCCUGGGAUG